UUCAUACUCUCUCGGUCCGCCAUCUUGGAUAACCUCGCGCGCCACCUAUAGUCCGUGUGCAUUGCGAAUUGCGCGCGACUAGAAUCUAAGCGUGGCUGUGACACAAGUGGUACUGAAUGGGAUGUUGAACGCUUGCGUUGCGUUGAAGAAGUAACUCCGCCUUCCUUAUCGCGUAAGUAACGACGACGGCGUAAUAUAUGUUUGCUAACCAUCACCACGUUAAACACGCGGUCUCGUGCAGCAGCGGGGGCUAUGUAUACUCGCUAGCGGCCUACUACUACGGCAAAUCCGUCAGGCAGGCUCGGUACGUACUACCUCGGAGAGCCUUUCAGUUAAUACGUCAAUUCUAGUUCAUGCAGUUUUCUGUAGCACGCACAGGAUUUCGCAAGGCAUUGUUGAUGCACGGUAACGGCGCUGAAAUAUAACCUUUCACACCGCAGCAAAUAAUAGGUGGCGAGCACUUAGCACUUUCCAUUGUUUGGGAAAGUAUUUUGGUCUCAUAUCCAUUUCAUUGCAGCUCAUGACUUCAUCCGGUGAAAGUGGCACGGGCCGUACGUCCGCACGUCCUAUCUGCUCCUAUGCUAACAAUCGGGUUGACCCUCCUCCUGGCGCCAUCUUGAAUCGCACGGCGCGCCACCUAUAGUUCGUGGGCAUUGCGAAUAGUUCGUGGGCAUUGCGAAUAUCGUGCUGUACAUGACAUGCGUGUCAUGAUUUGCACGUUAGGACCUGUCAGUUCUGUUCAUCAUACACUCUUGUAACGCCGUAUCAAUUUUGGUAUAUAUCAAGUUAACGAAACGGUCGUAAGAACCCUUGCGUCUAGCUGUGUUCCACUCCGUGGCUGUCUCGCUCGAUCACGAAUUCAGCGCGGGAAAUGAAGCACACGGCAGUGCCGCGCGUAGCGGUGACAUAUUAGCUGAUCACGCCGGCUUGCUUCCCUUUGCUUCAACGCAACGAAACAUCAUGCCUUGCAAGAUCACAUACUGCAUUACGUAGAAGUGUUACUGCUUUGGAGUCAUCCUGCUAUUCACUGAGGACGUACAUACAACUAAGUUUUGCUUCGGCGGCAAGCAUCGAUCGUAAAGCCGCACUACUACGUAUGUGUACAGUGUACUAGAAUGGGUAGUCCGUGGUACAAGCAGUAGAAACCUGUCGUCUGCUAGAACAAAAAGAAAAAAAAAUCUACUGAAAAAGUAUUUAACUUGUCUCGUAUAAAUUUUUCUUGAAGACAAGUCAUUAUUUUUAAACUAUUUUGCCCAAUAACAUGCAUUCUCUAACAAUGUCACACGGCGACUUUUUCUUUUUCACGAACAACAAUUCAAGCUAGAUAGAUCCAUCCAAAGCUCUGGAUCCAUGCAUAGCCGAAGCAUGUUAUUUGCCUUUGUUUUACAGUUUUGUUUGCAAGCGUCUCGCGCGUGUUUUCGUCCACAAGAAGAUUCUAGGUAAAAGUAUUAAAUUCACGUAAUGAAGCUUAGUUCUUCGUUUGUGCGGUGUGCAAAGAUUGCGCGCAAUUCUCGCUGUUCUCGGAGUGCCGAUGAAGUACGAGUCGUUCAAGGAAUCAACGAAAUCUGCGGGUGCUCGAAUGACUCCAUGGCUGACGCCCGUGGCCACCUGCUACACGCCAGCGAAAGAAACUAAAGCACUGUGGAGGCUGCAGGGCGACUUUGCAAGUAGGAAGGGCGGAAAUUCCUGAAGAUGUAUUCAUCCAUGCUGCAUCAGCUGCUUGGUGUUUUCAUGGCAUCUCUGCACACGUGUUGGGUUGAUCUCAAGCAGAAAAGCAGAAGCGGCAGUGGUCUCCAGAAGAGACCAAGGACCCCAAGCUCUCUGUGACACAAACAGGAAGGGCACUGUGAUGCGUUGAAAACCUGCGCCAGUAGUGCAUCACCAGUGCACUAUGCUGCUGUUUCAUCAAGGAGAAAGAAGGUGACCACCCCUAGAGGAACUUCAUGCUCUAC
Molecule: long non-coding RNA, 1952 nt
Organism: Rhipicephalus sanguineus (brown dog tick)
Lineage: Eukaryota; Metazoa; Arthropoda; Arachnida; Ixodida; Ixodidae
Exons: 3
Source: RefSeq, a predicted model, not a curated record